This 156-nucleotide ribosomal RNA is filed under the name Triticum aestivum (bread wheat). RNAcentral's name for it is "partial small subunit ribosomal RNA". The record is from RNAcentral. Lineage: Eukaryota; Viridiplantae; Streptophyta; Magnoliopsida; Poales; Poaceae.
GCGGCGGUGGGGCUGGCGGGCGCCAGCGUGCUGGUGUGGUGGGCGGUGGCGUUCCACCCGGCGCGGGAGCAACUCUGCAUGGUGCCCGUCGGGCUCGUCCUCCUCGGCACGCCGCUCGUCGCCUGGCUCUCCCUCUUCGCCUCCGGCGCAUGCCGC